This 202-nucleotide ribosomal RNA is filed under the name Paenibacillus etheri. RNAcentral describes it as "partial 23S ribosomal RNA". It matches the Rfam family "Bacterial large subunit ribosomal RNA", at positions 1797 to 1996 of the family's 2925-position model. Lineage: Bacteria; Bacillati; Bacillota; Bacilli; Caryophanales; Paenibacillaceae. The record is from RNAcentral.
CGACUGUUUAGCAAAAACACAGGUCUGUGCGAAGCCGCAAGGCGAAGUAUACGGGCUGACGCCUGCCCGGUGCUGGAAGGUUAAGGGGAGUGGUUAGGAGCAAUCCGAAGCUAUGAACCGAAGCCCCAGUAAACGGCGGCCGUAACUAUAACGGUCCUAAGGUAGCGAAAUUCCUUGUCAGGUAAAUUCUGACCCGCACGAA